RNAcentral lists this long non-coding RNA (820 nucleotides) under Monodelphis domestica (gray short-tailed opossum). Its description in RNAcentral is "lncRNA (ENSMODG00000041016.1)". Lineage: Eukaryota; Metazoa; Chordata; Mammalia; Didelphimorphia; Didelphidae. The record is from RNAcentral.
GGUAUUUAAUAUAUUCAUCAUAUUUCAAUCCAUGGAUAAAAACAUUAUUUAAAAACUGAGAUCCCAGGCUAUUAUUUUGUCUUAAUCUGUGAUUUAAUUAGUGUUGAGGAACUCCAGGUGAGAAAAAUCCCUCUGUCAACGCAGAUUAGCAACUGUUCUGUUUCCUAUAAUCUUAGAGGCCUGUAGCCAAAAAAUAUAAAUGACUUGUCCAGUGACAUAGCCAUUUUAUACUCUUAACAAGUACAGCUCAAAAUAUUUAAAGGUAGUUACUUUUGGCUAUUAUGUAGCCCUUAUUUAUAUUAAACUUGGUAUUGUAGAAUAAGAUUCUGUUGACAGAAUAUGUACAACUUUAUAAAUUUAUGUCACUAAUUCAAAUAUUGCAUAAUUACCUUUAUGUGGCUUCUUGGACUUCCAUAUGUUUACACCAACAACUGGAACCUUCUUUGAAUUCUGAUGAUGAUUUGUCAGGGAUUGAAACUUGAUUGAAUGAGAUAACUACAUCUUUCUCUUCUCACCAGAGGCGGUCACUCUAUAAAAGAAAAGACAGAAGAGUAAUAAGGAUCUCCACUGAAGUUUCCUCUGAUGCCUUAUCUGAGUACAGAAGUGACAAGGGAUUCUCAAAUACCAUGCCAGUGGAGCACCAGCUGGGAAGGUGUCAUCUAUUGUAGAACCCAUCUCCUCCAACUGCCACAGCUACUGAAGACCCAGACAAGUGAGGAAACCAAGGCCUAGACAGAAGAAGGAACUUUUCAGAAGUAACUCUAUUGUGAGUGGCAGAGCCAGGAUUCAAUAAAAAUUUAUUAAUGCCUACUAUGUGCCA